This 253-nucleotide ribosomal RNA is filed under the name uncultured bacterium. Its description in RNAcentral is "partial 16S ribosomal RNA". It matches the Rfam family "Bacterial small subunit ribosomal RNA", at positions 524 to 776 of the family's 1533-position model. The record is from RNAcentral.
UACGUAGGGCGCAAGCGUUGUUCGGAUUCAUUGGGCGUAAAGGGUGCGUAGGCGGCGCGGUAAGUCGGGUGUGAAAUCUCGGAGCUUAACUCCGAAACUGCAUUCGAUACUGCCGUGCUUGAGGACUGGAGAGGAGACUGGAAUUUACGGUGUAGCGGUGAAAUGCGUAGAUAUCGUAAGGAAGACCAGUGGCGAAGGCGGGUCUCUGGACAGUUCCUGACGCUGAGGCACGAAGGCCAGGGGAGCAAACGGG